Molecule: long non-coding RNA, 1871 nt
Organism: Pogona vitticeps (central bearded dragon)
Lineage: Eukaryota; Metazoa; Chordata; Lepidosauria; Squamata; Agamidae
Source: Ensembl
GAAUAUUUCCAAAGUUGAGGAAGAAUGCAGCUAAUGCAUCUAGUGAUAUUUUAAUCUGGAUAAUGAUAGUUAAUCUAUAUAGAGGUCAUCUUUAUGGUUUCUUAUGAUGUAAAUGACCUGAAGUGAGAUUUGGGCUCAUAUAAGCCUUGUGCUCCUACAUUCCUUCCUCAAGCAUGUCACUUUAGCAUUUAAUUGAAUUAUAAAGAUAAAUGUAAAGAUAGCAUUAAACUAUCAUAGGAAACUUAAAUGGUGGUUAUUCUUGUUUAUAACCUAUUAUUUUCAUUGACUUGAUUCAAACAAACCAUAGUUAAGACUAACCACCGUUUGGGUUUUUUUUUAAAUGAAAUGACAAGCUGUGUUUUAUCAAACAUGAACAAAAAAGGAAGCAAAAGCCUUAUGGAAGAAGGAUGGAUGAGGGCAAAAGACAAGAUUCAAGACCCAGGUUUAGGAUGUAUGUUGACUGGAUAGCCUUUGGAUAGCUUUCACCUUUGGCACUUUAUGACAUAAGAGAUUUUUUUUCUGAGAGUGGUUGCCCAAAAAAGAAACUUUUUCAAACUAUGCACACUUCCUCUAAGAAGGAGAAUAUCAAUGGAAAAUGGAAUAAACUGAGCAUAUUAUGUGGCAUAGGUUCACAUGGGCUCUGCAACAAAAGCAGCAAAUGUGAGAAUGGCAGGGGAGUUGCAGAAUGAGAGAGAGGUUGCUUGGGCAAGUUUCUCCCCCGGCACCACUGCUAGCAGUCUGACAAAAGGCCUCUUGGAGGAAGCAAAGCCUCAAGGGAAUUGUGCUGAUUCUACUGAGACCUCAAGGUUCAAUGAUUUCUCAUCUGGACAAUAUUUGAAUAACUUGCUGUCUAGUUAUGUCCUUGUAAUCUGUUUCUUUUAUUUUUAUUUAUUUAUUUUAAAGACCCUGAACCAUGAGGAAGAACGGAAGCAGCCCAUCCAGCAUGAACACCACUUGCCAGCAUCGGAGCUUGUGUUAUGACCGCCUGAUCGAAAAAUGUGUGAGCUGCAAAGAGAUGCAGAGAGGCACUGAAAAAGAACCAACCACUAUUCUCAGAGUGGCCAACCCUACAACCCGUAUACCAGCAGGACCUUUUACUGAAGAUCACACUUGCUCAGCCCUUGCCUUUGGUCUCUACAUUUUUGUGGGGCUAAUCCUUGCCUUGGCAGUGCUGUGGCUUGUAACAAACCUGAGACAAAAGAAAAAGAAGAGGAUGAAAAAAGCAGAUGAGGAAGAUCCUAAAGAAAAUAAGGACUCCUUUGAAAAUGAAGUUCAUGAAGACCAUAGCUGCGGGCAAGGAGAUGAUGCUCCUGGACUACUUAAAUGCCCACAUGAAAAUGGCACUUCAAACACUGCUGGUGAUGAAAUUUUAAUGAGGAACAUGUACCAUAUUGUUAAGGCAGGAAGUGAUGCCUCUGAAGUUGUUCCCCGGUCUCCCCUCAAUGAAGAACGCAGCCCUGCUUUUCCAGUGCCGGCAACUGAACUUGGAACAACUAUGCUGGUAACGGCCAAGACGACUCAGGGGAAUUUUCUUAGUGAAAAGUUGCCUUAACAAUAGGUUUAAAACUGCUGGGACCGGCAGGUACUCCCUAAAAUGUGAUAUCAGUACUUUUAGUAUGAUGAAAGGCUAUUGAAUGGAUACAGGCACUAGAGGUUUCUCUCACUUCUAAUGGAAGUAGGUUUGCUGUUUGCCAAAUUCUAAUGUAAUGAAGCCGGCCUCAGCUGCCAGAGGAUUUCAGUUUUGGUUCAGAUCAGAAAAAGUAAGUUAAUAAUAAUGGGAUAAUUUACCGCCCCUUGCCUGGCUGCCUUUGAAAUGGGAGAAGACAAAAAGAAAAGAUAAGUCUAAGGAAAUAAAAUUAUUAUUCAGCGCA